CUUGGUGGUUUUAGCGGUGGGGGUACACCCGAUCCCAUCCCGAACUCGGCAGUUAAGUCCACCAGCCCCGAUGAUACUUGGACCGCAAGGUCCUGGGAAAGUAGGACGCCGCCAAGA
RNAcentral lists this ribosomal RNA (117 nucleotides) under bacterium. The record is from RNAcentral.